This 57-nucleotide transfer RNA is filed under the name Camelus bactrianus (Bactrian camel). It matches the Rfam family "tRNA", at positions 8 to 63 of the family's 71-position model. From Rfam's summary of the family: Transfer RNA (tRNA) molecules are approximately 80 nucleotides in length. RNAcentral also lists the same sequence under 1 other name. Lineage: Eukaryota; Metazoa; Chordata; Mammalia; Artiodactyla; Camelidae. The record is from Rfam by way of RNAcentral.
UAGCUCAGUGGUAGAGCGUGUGCUUAGCAUGCACGAAGUCCUGGGUUCAAUCCCCAG